RNAcentral lists this transfer-messenger RNA (371 nucleotides) under Patescibacteria group bacterium. It matches the Rfam family "transfer-messenger RNA". Rfam says of the family: Bacterial tmRNA, also known as 10Sa RNA or SsrA, is named for its dual tRNA and mRNA-like properties. Its role is to liberate the mRNA from a stalled ribosome. To accomplish this part of the tmRNA is used as a reading frame that ends in a translation stop signal. The record is from RNAcentral.
GGGGGUGACCUGAAUCGACAAAGAAAUUACUUUCUUCUGUGCAACGUGGUGAAUGUUGGAGAACACCUAAAAUCUCGAACAACCAACAGUGUGAAAAACACUAUGACCGCAUCGUGGUUUACCCGUGCGGACUUUGCUUUCGCUCACGCCUAAGCAACAUCAUCUACACGACUCCUGAUAGUGUAGCUCUGGUGUCAUAUCAUCAGGAUUAUCUGAAAGCCUGCCCGCCUUUCAGAAACAUGUAGGGCUCGGUAUGCAGUUAUCUUGUUUGUUUCUUACCUGCAUGCUUAAACCUCGAAAUAAACUAUACGUUGUAGAAUCGGUUUAAAGACCUUCUUUGGACGAGGGCUCAUUACCCUCCACCUCCACCA